Molecule: non-coding RNA, 31 nt
Filed under: Rattus norvegicus (Norway rat)
Lineage: Eukaryota; Metazoa; Chordata; Mammalia; Rodentia; Muridae
Source: RNAcentral
UGGGAUUAAAGACAUGUGUCCCCGUGCCAGU